RNAcentral lists this ribosomal RNA (731 nucleotides) under uncultured bacterium. RNAcentral describes it as "bacterial SSU rRNA". It matches the Rfam family "Bacterial small subunit ribosomal RNA", at positions 771 to 1501 of the family's 1533-position model. The record is from RNAcentral.
AACAGGAUUAGAUACCCUGGUAGUCCACGCCGUAAACGAUGAGUGCUAAGUGUUGGAGGGUUUCCGCCCUUCAGUGCUGCAGCAAACGCAUUAAGCACUCCGCCUGGGGAGUACGACCGCAAGGUUGAAACUCAAAGGAAUUGACGGGGGCCCGCACAAGCGGUGGAGCAUGUGGUUUAAUUCGAAGCAACGCGAAGAACCUUACCAGGUCUUGACAUCCUUUGACCACUCUAGAGAUAGAGCUUCCCCUUCGGGGGCAAAGUGACAGGUGGUGCAUGGUUGUCGUCAGCUCGUGUCGUGAGAUGUUGGGUUAAGUCCCGCAACGAGCGCAACCCUUAUUGUUAGUUGCCAUCAUUUAGUUGGGCACUCUAGCGAGACUGCCGGUGACAAACCGGAGGAAGGUGGGGAUGACGUCAAAUCAUCAUGCCCCUUAUGACCCGGGCUACACACGUGCUACAAUGGGAAGUACAACGAGUUGCGAAGUCGCGAGGCUAAGCUAAUCUCUUAAAGCUUCUCUCAGUUCGGAUUGUAGGCUGCAACUCGCCUACAUGAAGCCGGAAUCGCUAGUAAUCGCGGAUCAGCACGCCGCGGUGAAUACGUUCCCGGGCCUUGUACACACCGCCCGUCACACCACGAGAGUUUGUAACACCCGAAGUCGGUGAGGUAACCUUUUUGGAGCCAGCCGCCUAAGGUGGGAUAGAUGAUGGGGGUGAAGUCGUAACAAGGUAACC